Molecule: long non-coding RNA, 1001 nt
Organism: Monodelphis domestica (gray short-tailed opossum)
Lineage: Eukaryota; Metazoa; Chordata; Mammalia; Didelphimorphia; Didelphidae
Source: Ensembl
UUGUGAAAAAAAUAUAAUUUUAUGUUAUGUUUUGCUUCAAAUCAACAGGUAACAUUCAUGAUAUAGAUCUGGAUGAUGGGCGCUACCCACCAAAACCUAGACCCCCAUCAGGUGGAGGAGGAUAUUCAGAUUAUGGAAAUGCUCAUGGGGAUAAUAUAGCUAGAAUUGUUUCUCCUAUUGUUUCUGUGGUUGUGGUAUCACUUGUUGGAGCUGCUACAAGCUAUUUUGCUUAUAACCGGAGGAGAAACUGCUGCAGAACUAAUGAGCCAGAGACUGUCUGAAAGAGGAAGGAAUCUGCAGUGACUUUCACAUGAACUGUAAUAAGAUCAGAAUGGACAUUUAUCAUGUACGUUAUGUAGAAGAAUUUUUUAGUCUAAUAAGGACACAUCAAUAUACCAAAAGAAUUUUCUUCUUCUAAAACAUGUAAUUCAUCUAAAUGAGGAUUCCAAACUUCUUUGUAUAAUGUAGAUACAAUAAUAGAUACUGUAGUAUAAUGAUACUUUUUACAAAAAAAAAGAAGACUGAAUUAAUAUUUAUAGUGUUUAAUGUGGAAAUGAGAACUUAUAUUCUUCUUAGUUCUUAGAAUAUCUUUUAUAAAAAUAUAUAAAUAUUUUAACCAUUACUUUUUUCAUAAUGCCUACAUAGGCACAACUUUAGAGGGACCACUAUAGAUGUACUUAGUGACAUAUACAAUGGGUAACAAUGCAAAGGUAAAGAAAACAUCCCAUUCCAAUAAUAUUUUUGUGCAAAAAGUCAUCAAAGCAAAGUGCUUUUUUAAAAAUUUCAACCAAAGGCUUAUUUAUGAGUGAAAUUGAUUUACUUCCAACAUUGACAGAAAAACCUAAAUACUGUACACUUGAUAUUUCAAAUUAAGAUGAUAAAUGCAACACACUAAAAACAAAAUUCCUGGGGUAGUAAUAUUGAAAACUUAUCAUUACAUUUUUUUGAGGGUAUUUUCUUUUUAAAAUAAAAACAAGAAAUAUGGACUGGCUUUUGAGUCA